CUUCAGCCUAUUAUUUAAUCCAGAGUGUUUCUUUAAUUUGUAAUGUGACAAACAAUGUCAGUUCCCCACCCGCCAUUAUUUUGUUACUUAUACAAACAUACAUUUUGUGCACAGAUGAAAACGCUGCACUGGGGUAUAAAAUAUUCAAGAAAAACUGUGAGAAACCUUAAAAAAAUUGUCCCUGCACAUAUAAAAAUAAAUUAAUACUUUGCGUCCAGUAAACCUCAAAACUUAUUUUCAUGCCUCCAAAAAUCACAUGUACAAACUGAGGCUUCAUUGGCUUUCCUUCGCACAAACACUUAUGUACACCCUGGGUCAAUGAGGAAGAUUUAUUUACAUUUAACGAGGUAAAAAUGACCCCCCCUCCUUUUUUUUUUUUUUUUAAACAGCUGAAGUCACACAAUCCCCAUCAUUAACCAUCAGAUUUUAAACAAAUGAUCCAGAAUAGAAAUCAAACAGUUUAGAAGAAACCAAAAAUAGGAAAACAAACUUUACACAGUAGUACAAGGAGAUGUUAAACAGCAACAUCUGAGGACUUGGAGGAAAUAAUCUCACACCAGUUACAUAAAUAAAUAAAAAGCACAACCCAAAAUUUUGCUUUUAAUAUUGAAGAAUACAGCACAUUUUUUCCUGGUUUUUAAGUGAAAAGAGUGUUUCUCAAUCUGUUGUCUUGGCAACAUUAAUUAACAGCAGCAUUGAGAGAGAGCAGAGUGACAGAAAGGGGAAAAUGUAUAUACAGAAAAAUUGAUAAAUGGGGGGAAGAAUAGAUCCUUUGCCUCAGGCACUUUGAGUGUGGAGGCUGACUAGUCAGUCCUGACGUGGAUUUUUAUUGGCCGCUGGUGUUUACCAUUUAGGUCCUGUGUGUUGGAGAGGUAGUUGCAGCUCGGGGGCUCAUUCAAGGAUGACCACUUCCACAUAUUGUCCCACAAAGUCUUGUGAGCAAACAAGUGCGGUCAGAUGCAGAGGCCCCUGAGAGUGACACAGCAGAAAGACCAUACUGUGGUGGAAAGAAACUGGGAUGAAAAACAUCUUAAUAGGGCCCUGAAGCAUGAAUGCAAGUGUACUUGAGCACCAAGAAGGUCUUGAUGGCUGCUGAUGGAGGUUGUGUGGCCAUGUGGCCAGCAUUGGAUUGCAUCUGGUCCUGAUGUUGCUGUAUUAGCUGCCAGAACCGCAGCU
This is a long non-coding RNA of Syngnathoides biaculeatus (alligator pipefish), 1176 nucleotides long. RefSeq lists it as uncharacterized. The record is from RefSeq and is a predicted model, not a curated record. Lineage: Eukaryota; Metazoa; Chordata; Actinopteri; Syngnathiformes; Syngnathidae. The transcript is spliced from 3 exons.